CACCAGCGCCUCGAGUGGGGAUCGCGAUUAUUGGGUCUAAAGCGUCCGUAGCAGGCCUUGUAAAUGCUUUGUGAAAUCGGCAGGCUUAACCUGUCGGCGUGCAGAGUAAACUGCAGGGCUUGAGACCGGGAGAGGUUAGAAGUAUUCCUUGGGUACCGGUAAAAUGGGUUAAUCCAGGGAGGACUACCAAUGGCGAAGGCAUCUAACCAGAACGGUUCUGACUGUGAGGGACGAAAGCUAGGGGAGCAAAACGG
Molecule: ribosomal RNA, 254 nt
Filed under: uncultured bacterium
Lineage: Bacteria
Description: partial 16S ribosomal RNA
Rfam family: Archaeal small subunit ribosomal RNA
Source: RNAcentral